UACGUAGGGACCGAGCGUUAGGCGGAAUCACUGGGCUUAAAGCGUGUGUAGGCGGAUUGCUAAGUACCUUGUGAAAUCCCACGGCUUAACCGUGGAACUGCUUGGUAUACUGGCUGUCUUGAGCCACUUAGGGGCGACCGGAACAAACGGUGGAGCGGUGAAAUGCGUAGAUAUCGUUUGGAACGCCAAAGGUGAAAACAGGUCGCUGGGAGUGUGCUGACGCUGAGACACGAAAGCCAGGGGAGCAAACGGG
RNAcentral lists this ribosomal RNA (253 nucleotides) under uncultured bacterium. Its description in RNAcentral is "partial 16S ribosomal RNA". It matches the Rfam family "Bacterial small subunit ribosomal RNA", at positions 524 to 776 of the family's 1533-position model. The record is from RNAcentral.